CCUACGGGAGGCAGCAGUAGGGAAUCUUCCACAAUGGACGAAAGUCUGAUGGAGCAACGCCGCGUGAGUGAAGAAGGGUUUCGGCUCGUAAAGCUCUGUUGGUAGUGAAGAAAGAUAGAGGUAGUAACUGGCCUUUAUUUGACGGUAAUUACUUAGAAAGUCACGGCUAACUACGGGCCAGCAGCCGCGGUAAUACGUAGGUGGCAAGCGUUGUCCGGAUUUCUUGGGCGUAAAGCGAGUGCAGGCGGUUCAAUAAGUCUGAUGUGACAGCCUUCGGCUCAACCGGAGAAUUGCAUCAGAAACUGUUGGACUUGAGUGCAGAAGAGGAGAGUGGAACUCCAUGUGUAGCGGUGGAAUGCGUAGAUAUAUGGAAGAACACCAGUGGCGAAGGCGGCUCUCUGGUCUGCAACUGACGCUGAGGCUCGAAAGCAUGGGUAGCGAACAGGAUUAGAUACCCGAGUAGUC
RNAcentral lists this ribosomal RNA (465 nucleotides) under uncultured bacterium. RNAcentral's name for it is "partial 16S ribosomal RNA". It matches the Rfam family "Bacterial small subunit ribosomal RNA", at positions 338 to 795 of the family's 1533-position model. The record is from RNAcentral.